This 67-nucleotide transfer RNA is filed under the name Elaptus prionoides. Its description in RNAcentral is "tRNA-Trp". Lineage: Eukaryota; Metazoa; Arthropoda; Insecta; Coleoptera; Cerambycidae. The record is from RNAcentral.
AAGGAUUUAAGUUAACCAAACUAUUGGCCUUCAAAGCCAAAAAUAGGAACGGCAUUCCUAAGCCUUA